RNAcentral lists this transfer RNA (72 nucleotides) under Sinorhizobium medicae. Its description in RNAcentral is "tRNA-Met". It matches the Rfam family "tRNA". Rfam says of the family: Transfer RNA (tRNA) molecules are approximately 80 nucleotides in length. Their secondary structure includes four short double-helical elements and three loops (D, anti-codon, and T loops). Further hydrogen bonds mediate the characteristic L-shaped molecular structure. tRNAs have two regions of fundamental functional importance: the anti-codon, which is responsible for specific mRNA codon recognition, and the 3' end, to which the tRNAs corresponding amino acid is attached (by aminoacyl-tRNA synthetases). tRNAs cope with the degeneracy of the genetic code in two manners: having more than one tRNA (with a specific anti-codon) for a particular amino acid; and 'wobble' base-pairing, i.e. permitting non-standard base-pairing at the 3rd anti-codon position. The record is from RNAcentral. Lineage: Bacteria; Pseudomonadati; Pseudomonadota; Alphaproteobacteria; Hyphomicrobiales; Rhizobiaceae.
CGCAGGCAGGGCAUCUGGUAAGCCGCCUGGCUCAUAAUCACGAAAGACCGGGUUCGAUUCCCGGGCCUGCAA